UACAGAGGUCUCGAGCGUUAGGCGGAAUCACUGGGCUUAAAGCGUGUGUAGGCGGUUCGUUAAGUGCCUUGUGAAAUCCCACGGCUCAACCGUGGAACUGCUUGGCAUACUGGCGGUCUUGAGCAACCUAGGGGCGAGCGGAACAAAUGGUGGAGCGGUGAAAUGCGUAGAUAUCUGGAGGAACACCGGUGGCGAAGGCGGCAUCCUGGACCGGCAUUGACGCUGAGGCGCGAAAGCCAGGGGAGCAAACGGG
Molecule: ribosomal RNA, 253 nt
Filed under: uncultured bacterium
Lineage: Bacteria
Description: partial 16S ribosomal RNA
Rfam family: Bacterial small subunit ribosomal RNA
Source: RNAcentral